AGUGGUGAGCUGUGGGGGUCCCUCGUUAGUUACCAACUGGUGGGGCUAAACUAUGAACCCAUUUUUGUCAGCUUGUAGAGUCUAAGUCUAUCAUUGUCUGCAGUGAAACCAAUAUUCUACCAAGAGAUGGGUCACCUUGUAACAUUACUUGCUACUUUCCUACCUGGAAUUCUAUGGUCUGAAGUUUCCAAUCUGUGUGAGUCAUUCCCAAAGUGGUGAGCCAUUGUUAGCCCAAAAUUACGUCCGCACUUCCCAAUUUCAGGGGCAAAAAAUAAUCCCAAAUCUCUACCCCUUGGAAAGGCAUGCUUAAAUUUUUACAAACCCCCUCAUUCUUCAUUGAAUCUCCACUUCCCAUCGUCACUUCGUACUCGCUGGUCUUGGUGACAGGAAGGUAGUUUUUUCACAUUAACUUGAGAAAUAAAAUUAUGAGUAGCCCCGGAAUCGAUUAAAAUCGCCACCUCACAAGAGUCAAGUCGGCCCUUGAUUUUCAUGGUCUUGUUAGAGGUCAAACCAGCCACCAAAGGUAGGGACACUUCUACAGAAUUUCCAACUUCUGUGGAGUCUAACUCUGCUGCCUCUUCCGUUGUAUCUUUUGAACCUUGUUCUGAGAAUGCAUCAUCGAUUUCUGCAAGAAGCAUCAAGAUGUUCAUUUCUUUUUGUUUACAACGAUGUCUGGGAGACCAUUUAUCAUCACAUCGGAAAUAGGCCCUUCUUUCUUUUGUAUUGAAUCUGGUUUUCAGUCAAUCUUCUGACCUCUCCCAUCAGUUUGGUGUAGUUGGUAUUGGUUGGGGUGCUCCCUUGUAUGGCGCUUGAAAAUUUCACUGUGGUGCUAUGGAAACUGGAUGUUUUAUGUCGAAAUUGGGCAGCUGCCUUCAACUUUUCCACGAUGUCGUAUGCUACUUCCAUUGCCUCAUCCACAUUUUUGGGUCGUUGGACUCUCAAUUCCAUCCUUAUUGAAGGCAUUAAUCCAUUAAUGAAAGUACCCAACUAAACUUCCAGUGGUAUGUUGUCUAACAGAGCCAACAAUCUGAUAAAAUGUUUCUUGUAUUCCAGAAUCGUUCCUUUUUGUUUCACAACCAAUACUUUGUCAUACAAAGAACCCGUGUGGGUAUCACGAAAGUGGUGUAAAACUAAUCUUUUAAUUUCUUUCCAACUUAAAAUGGCUCGUUUCUUGUUCUCAUACGGGUACCACAAGAGUGCAUCUCCCGAAAAUGAGAUGAAGGCUGGUUCUAUUUUCUCCCCUUCAUCAUAGUUAUGCCACACAAAGUACCUCUCGACUUGCAUAACCCACCCAUCCGGGUUCUCUCCAUCAAAAGUAGGCUUCUUCAACUUGUUUAGUCGCUGCUCGUGACAGUAAGGGGCUCCUGAAUGGGUUCUCUCUGCCAGAGUCUCUCCCAUGUACCUGCUUCCCCUGGAGUCGUCUGUUGCUGCCACCAUUGCUUCUUUGCCGUUGUUAGCUGGGCUUGUCCUCAUGGGUUCCGGGUCUACUGGACUCUUUGCUACGCUUUCUUGAGGUUCUUGCUACUUUCUUGAUUUGUCUUGGGCUUCAAGGAAGAGCUGUAGCUAUUGUUGGGAUUGUUGUUGCAACUGCCGCCCCAUUUAUUGGAUAGAGUCUUUAACAACCGUCACUCCCACCUUCAAAGCUUCCAUUUCUUCUUCCAUGGAGGCAGAUAAUUCUCCCUUCUCCUCUACCUCUUUGAUCUUCUUUGGUCCCAUGUUUGCAGCUCACUGCACCAAAUUGAUAAGCUUUUCUUAGUAAUCAAUCCUCUCUGUACUUUUAUUAAGAUGAAAGAAAUCAAAUACAAUACACAAGCUUUUGAAAGACUUGUUCUCUCCUAUUCCAAAUGUUCAAGAGGUUUGGGCUUUCCACAAAAUUCAAUUGUCACUUUAUUUUCUGCCUAACCACUACUAACUCUAUAUAUAGACUAGACUAGUGACACAAUUUACAAUUAAAACUUAACACCUCAACCCAUUAAACAUAUGACACCUCAACACCUAGACAUGACAAAAUUUACAAUUUAAACUAGACACCUCAACCCAUUAAACAUGUAUAGACAUGACACAUGCACAAUUUAACUUUUUCUUUAUUCUAAAAUAUGUAAACCUGACUUGGGGCUUAUCAGUGAUGAAGUGUUUCAGUUUUGGACACUCUUCCUAGAAAUUAGUUUUCCAACGUAAAUCUUCGAUUUCUUAUUCUAUCUUGUUGAAUGGUGGUCCUCUUAACGACUUUAGACAGUCUCAGGGAUUGCAUUAAGGAAAUCCUUUAUUUCCCUAUCUAUUUAUCUUGGGGAGUGAAGUGUUUUCUCGAUUGCUGGCUAAGGCAGGAACUGAGAGGAAAAUCAUUGGGUACAAGUUGAGUAAAAGACGACUACUGGAUGGUCAGAGUAUUAGUCAUUUGCAGUUCUGUGAGCAUUGUGUUUUUGGGAAGCAGAAGAAAGUCAGAUUCUCUAAGCAUAAGAGUGAUGCACUGGCUACUUUCAAGCAAUGGAAGACCAUGAUCGAGAAGCAGACUGGAAGGCAAGUAACAUGUAUCAGCACUAAUAAUAGUUUGAAGUUUUGAACAGAUAAGUUUAAUACAAUUUGCAAGUUUGAAGGUAUUCUAAGACAUCUUACAGUCCCUCGUACACCACAGCAAAACAGUGCCGCAAAUUGAAUGAAUAGGACUUUGAUGGAGAAGGUUCAAUGCAUGCUUUCCAAUGUCAAUCAUCUACCAAAGUAUUUUUUGGUUGAAGCCACUUCUACACUCCUGCUAAUUACUAUGAAUUGACAAUUUUUGGAUAUCUUACUUAUGCACAUGUUAAUAAUGAAAAACUAUAACGUAGAUCUCAAAAACGUGUCUUCCUUGGUUUCAAAGAUGGUGUUAAAAGGAUAGCAGCGUUCUAGCUUGCAAGAUGAAUUACAGUUUGAUUCAGAAAUUGCUUCAGGAAGUUCUUCUUGGUCCAGUUGUCAAGUACAAAGUGAUGAUAUGUUUCCACCAAUUCAAGCAUAGCCACCACAUUCUAUAGCAAUAACUGAGCUAGAAGAAUUAUUAAGCUUCCACAGAGAUGUGCUGAGCAGAUUGGGUAGCUUAUGCUUUAAAUGUGGUAUUGAUUCCAGUGAAGAACCUUCUAUUUAUUCUGAGGCUGUUAGUUAUAAGGAUGCUAACAGUUGGAAAACAGCAAUGCAUGAGGAGAUAACAUCACUUCAAAAGACCAACACAUGAGAUUUCGUGCAUUUACCUAAGGGUAAGAAAAUUGUUCGUUGUAAAUGUGUGUUUGCAAGAAAAGAAGACACACUAGGAGUUGAAGAGCCCAGAUUCAAGGCAAUGCUAAAGGAUACAAUCAGAUUCCAGGUGUUGGUUACAAUGAUGUUUUUUGAUAAGGGAAUUUUGAGUUAUAUAUUUGUCAUCGUUUCUCACUUAGAUAAUGUUAAUUUCUAGUGUAUUUAUGUGUUCUUAGCUUUGUAUUAUGAGUCUUUGAUUUUUAGGCCAUAAAAUAUUUUAUGAGAGUUUAUUGAUGAAUUUUGUGGCUAGAUAUUGAAGGAAGACGACAUGACUCAAGAAAAUGAAGUUUAGGACAAGUUUGAAGUAUUUUAGAAGUCCUUAAACCCAAGGUUCAAGGUUAAAGUUGAAGAUUUUGAAGAAAAUCUACGGGUGCUAAAAAGGAGCAUUGGCCGCGACCUCCUAGGCAGAACCUAGCAGUCGUAGCCGCCAAGAACCACUGGCCGUGGCCAGUUCACGAUAUAUGGGCAAAAAGGCUUUAGCGGUCACGACUGGCGAUACAACCUUUCCUUAAUUUUUAAGAUUUAAAUGCACUUUUCAAAGGUCUAUAAAAAUGAUUAAGGUUAUGUAACAUCCCGUGUUUUGAACACCCGUUAGUAGCCGGUAAGAACCGGUGAAGAAUUAUGCGGAAUAUUAUUUUUAUAAAUGAUAUUAUAUGAA
Long non-coding RNA from Humulus lupulus (European hop), 3919 nucleotides. RefSeq lists it as uncharacterized. NCBI's taxonomy places the organism in Eukaryota, Viridiplantae, Streptophyta, Magnoliopsida, Rosales, Cannabaceae. The transcript has 4 exons. The record is from RefSeq and is a predicted model, not a curated record.